This 488-nucleotide ribosomal RNA is filed under the name uncultured bacterium. RNAcentral's name for it is "partial 16S ribosomal RNA". It matches the Rfam family "Bacterial small subunit ribosomal RNA", at positions 28 to 507 of the family's 1533-position model. The record is from RNAcentral.
GACGAACGCUGGCGGCGUGCCUAAUACAUGCAAGUCGAACGGACAGGCGCUGCCUUUGUCGCAUGCUCUAGGGGCGAAAGGGUGAGUAACACGGGAGUAAACCUCCCUUUACUUCGGGAUAAACUCAGGGAACUGGGGCUAAUACCGGAUAAGAGCUUCCGCUGCAUGGUGGGGGUUGGAAAGUAUCGGCUGUCGCUGUCGGACUCGCGGGGGACCAGCUCGUUGGUGGGGUAAGGGCUUACCAAGGCUUUGAGGGGUAGCCGACCUGAGAGGGUGAUCGGCGACACUGGGACGGAGACAGGGACCAGACGCCUACGAGAGGGAGCAGUAGGGAACCGGAGGCAAUGGUCGAGAGUCUGACGGAGCAGCGCGGCGCGUGUGAUGAAGGUGUUCGGAGCGUAAAACUCGGUUGCCGGGGAAGAACAGCUUCCGGAGUAACCGCAGGGACCUUGACGGUAACGGGUAAGAAAGCACCGGCUAACUACGUG